Molecule: ribosomal RNA, 468 nt
Filed under: uncultured bacterium
Lineage: Bacteria
Description: partial 16S ribosomal RNA
Rfam family: Bacterial small subunit ribosomal RNA
Source: RNAcentral
GAUGAACGCUGGCGGCGUGCUUAACACAUGCAAGUCGAACGGAAAGGCCCAAGCUUGCUUGGGUACUCGAGUGGCGAACGGGUGAGUAACACGUGGGUGAUCUGCCCUGCACUUCGGGAUAAGCCUGGGAAACUGGGUCUAAUACCGGAUAGGACGAUGGUUUGGAUGCCAUUGUGGAAAGUUUUUUCGGUGUGGGAUGAGCUCGCGGCCUAUCAGCUUGUUGGUGGGGUAAUGGCCUACCAAGGCGUCGACGGGUAGCCGGCCUGAGAGGGUGUACGGCCACAUUGGGACUGAGAUACGGACCAGACUCCUACGGGAGGCAGCAGUGGGGAAUAUUGCACAAUGGGCGCAAGCAUGAUGCAGCGACGCCGCGUGGGGGAUGACGGCCUUCGGGUUGUAAACUCCUUUCGCUAGGGACGAAGCGUUUUUGUGACGGUACCUGGAGAAGAAGCACCGGCUAACUACGUG